UACGUAGGGGGCAAGCGUUGUCCGGAUUUAUUGGGCGUAAAGAGCGUGUAGGCGGCUUUGCAAGUCCGUUGUGAAAACUCGAGGCUCAACCUCGAGACGCCGGUGGAAACUGCAAAGCUAGAGUCCGGAAGAGGAGAGUGGAAUUCCUGGUGUAGCGGUGAAAUGCGCAGAUAUCAGGAAGAACACCCGUGGCGAAGGCGGCUCGCUGGGACGGUACUGACGCUGAGACGCGAAAGCGUGGGGAGCGAACAGG
This 253-nucleotide ribosomal RNA is filed under the name uncultured bacterium. RNAcentral's name for it is "partial 16S ribosomal RNA". It matches the Rfam family "Bacterial small subunit ribosomal RNA", at positions 524 to 776 of the family's 1533-position model. The record is from RNAcentral.